This 551-nucleotide ribosomal RNA is filed under the name uncultured Glomeromycotina. RNAcentral's name for it is "SSU rRNA". It matches the Rfam family "Eukaryotic small subunit ribosomal RNA", at positions 548 to 1098 of the family's 1831-position model. The record is from RNAcentral. Lineage: Eukaryota; Fungi; Glomeromycota.
UUGGAGGGCAAGUCUGGUGCCAGCAGCCGCGGUAAUUCCAGCUCCAAUAGCGUAUAUUAAAGUUGUUGCAGUUAAAAAGCUCGUAGUUGAAUUUCGGGAUUCAUCCGUUGGUCGGGCUUCACGGUCCGUACUGGUGUGAUGGGUUCCUACCUUCUGAAUAACCGGCAUGCCAUUAAUUUGGUGCGCCGGGGAAGCAGAACUAUUACCUUGAAAAAAUUAGAGUGCUUAAAGCAGGCAAGUGCCUGAAUAGGUUAGCAUGGAAUAAUAAAAUAGGACGGCAUGGUUCUAUUUUGUUGGUUUCUAGGAUUGACGUAAUGAUUAAUAGGGAUAGUUGGGGGCAUUAGUAUUCAAUUGUCAGAGGUGAAAUUCUUGGAUUUAUUGAAGACUAACUUCUGCGAAAGCAUUUGCCAAGGAUGUUUUCAUUAAUCAAGAACGAAAGUUAGGGGAUCGAAGACGAUCAGAUACCGUCGUAGUCUUAACCAUAAACUAUGCCGACUAGGGAUCGGACGAUGUUAAUUUUUUAAUGACUCGUUCGGCGCCUUACGGGAAAC